RNAcentral lists this ribosomal RNA (423 nucleotides) under Streptococcus infantis. RNAcentral's name for it is "bacterial SSU rRNA". It matches the Rfam family "Bacterial small subunit ribosomal RNA", at positions 87 to 497 of the family's 1533-position model. The record is from RNAcentral. Lineage: Bacteria; Bacillati; Bacillota; Bacilli; Lactobacillales; Streptococcaceae.
CUGGAUGAGUUGCGAACGGGUGAGUAACGCGUAGGUAACCUGCCUGGUAGCGGGGGAUAACUAUUGGAAACGAUAGCUAAUACCGCAUAAUAGUAGAUAUCGCAUGAUAACUGCUUAAAAGGUGCAAUUGCACCACUACCAGAUGGACCUGCGUUGUAUUAGCUAGUUGGUGAGGUAACGGCUCACCAAGGCGACGAUACAUAGCCGACCUGAGAGGGUGAUCGGCCACACUGGGACUGAGACACGGCCCAGACUCCUACGGGAGGCAGCAGUAGGGAAUCUUCGGCAAUGGACGGAAGUCUGACCGAGCAACGCCGCGUGAGUGAAGAAGGUUUUCGGAUCGUAAAGCUCUGUUGUAAGAGAAGAACGAGUGUGAGAGUGGAAAGUUCACACUGUGACGGUAUCUUACCAGAAAGGGACGGC